This 448-nucleotide ribosomal RNA is filed under the name uncultured bacterium. Its description in RNAcentral is "bacterial SSU rRNA". It matches the Rfam family "Bacterial small subunit ribosomal RNA", at positions 28 to 458 of the family's 1533-position model. The record is from RNAcentral.
GAUGAACGCUGGCGGCGUGCUUAACACAUGCAAGUCGAACGAAGCAAUCUAACGGAAGUUUUCGGAUGGAAGCUGGAUUGACUGAGUGGCGGACGGGUGAGUAACGCGUGGGUAACCUGCCUCACACUGGGGGACAACAGUUAGAAAUGACUGCUAAUACCGCAUAAGCGCACAGGACCGCAUGGUCCGGUGUGAAAAACUCCGGUGGUGUGAGAUGGACCCGCGUUUGAUUAGCUAGUUGGUGGGGUAACGGCCUACCAAGGCGACGAUCAAUAGCCGACCUGAGAGGGUGACCGGCCACAUUGGGACUGAGACACGGCCCAAACUCCUACGGGAGGCAGCAGUGGGGAAUAUUGCACAAUGGGGGAAACCCUGAUGCAGCGACGCCGCGUGAGUGAAGAAGUAUUUCGGUAUGUAAAGCUCUAUCAGCAGGGAAGAAAAUGACGGU